UACGUAGGUCCCGAGCGUUGUCCGGAUUUAUUGGGCGUAAAGCGAGCGCAGGUGGUUUAUUAAGUCUGGUGUAAAAGGCAGUGGCUCAACCAUUGUAUGCAUUGGAAACUGGUAGACUUGAGUGCAGGAGGGGAGAGUGGAAUUCCAUGUGUAGCGGUGAAAUGCGUGGAUAUAUGGAGGAACACCGGUGGCGAAAGCGGCUCUCUGGACUGUAACUGACACUGAGGUACGAAAGCGUGGGGAGCAAACAGG
Molecule: ribosomal RNA, 252 nt
Filed under: uncultured bacterium
Lineage: Bacteria
Description: partial 16S ribosomal RNA
Rfam family: Bacterial small subunit ribosomal RNA
Source: RNAcentral